AGGGUCAUAGCAUCAGAUUUUCAGUAGUCUCCAUACCUCUCAUAAGCUCUCCAUGCCUCUCUCUCUUCUCCCUUUUAGUUCCGACGCCCAAGGUGCUUGGGCGUCCACCAUCUCCAAUGCCUAAAAGUGCUUGGACGGCCACCUUUUCUUGCUGAUUUUUAAAGCUUCGUUGCUGCUAAAUCAAGUGAAGGAGAUCAAGAAAAGAAGAGAAGAGAAAGAUCAAGAAAAGGA
Molecule: long non-coding RNA, 231 nt
Filed under: Elaeis guineensis (African oil palm)
Lineage: Eukaryota; Viridiplantae; Streptophyta; Magnoliopsida; Arecales; Arecaceae
Description: long non-coding RNA (EGUI_LNC074054)
Source: RNAcentral